Molecule: ribosomal RNA, 428 nt
Filed under: uncultured Acidobacterium sp.
Lineage: Bacteria; Pseudomonadati; Acidobacteriota; Terriglobia; Terriglobales; Acidobacteriaceae
Description: bacterial SSU rRNA
Rfam family: Bacterial small subunit ribosomal RNA
Source: RNAcentral
AACGCGAAGAACCUUACCUGGGCUCGAACGGCUGGUCAACGAUCGUGGAAACACGGUUACUCCGCAAGGGGGUCCAGUCGAGGUGCUGCAUGGCUGUCGUCAGCUCGUGUCGUGAGAUGUUGGGUUAAGUCCCGCAACGAGCGCAACCCUCGUCCUGUGUUGCCAUCAUUCAGUUGGGAACUCGCAGGAGACCGCCAGCGAUAAGCUGGAGGAAGGUGGGGAUGACGUCAAGUCCUCAUGGCCUUUAUGUCCAGGGCUACACACGUGCUACAAUGGCCGGUACAAUGCGCUGCUAAGUCGCAAGACGGAGCCAAUCGCAAAAAACCGGUCUCAGUUCGGAUUGCAGGCUGCAACUCGCCUGCAUGAAGCUGGAAUCGCUAGUAAUGGCAUAUCAGAACGAUGCCGUGAAUACGUUCCCGGGCCUUGUA